Molecule: unclassified non-coding RNA, 336 nt
Filed under: soil metagenome
Description: partial contains 5.8S ribosomal RNA, internal transcribed spacer 2, and large subunit ribosomal RNA
Rfam family: 5.8S ribosomal RNA (bases 1-119)
Source: RNAcentral
GAUGAAGAACGCAGCGAAAUGCGAUACGUAAUGUGAAUUGCAAAUUCAGUGAAUCAUCGAAUCUUUGAACGCACAUUGCGCCCCUUGGUAUUCCAUGGGGCAUGCCUGUUCGAGCGUCAUUUGUACCUUCAAGCUCUGCUUGGUGUUGGGUGUUUGUCUCGCCUCUGCGUGUAGACUCGCCUCAAAACAAUUGGCAGCCGGCGUAUUGAUUUCGGAGCGCAGUACAUCUCGCGCUUUGCACUCAUAACGACGACGUCCAAAAGUACAUUUUUACACUCUUGACCUCGGAUCAGGUAGGGAUACCCGCUGAACUUAAGCAUAUCAAUAAGCGGAGGA